Molecule: transfer RNA, 67 nt
Filed under: Macropes robustus
Lineage: Eukaryota; Metazoa; Arthropoda; Insecta; Hemiptera; Blissidae
Description: tRNA-Asn
Source: RNAcentral
UUAAUUGAAGCCAAAAUAGAGGCACUUUAUUGUUAAUAAAAAGAAUGAUUUUAUAAAUCCAAUUAAA